RNAcentral lists this small RNA (3046 nucleotides) under Pan troglodytes (chimpanzee). Its description in RNAcentral is "retained intron". Lineage: Eukaryota; Metazoa; Chordata; Mammalia; Primates; Hominidae. The record is from RNAcentral.
CACCACCAUGCCUGGCUACGUUUUUGUUCUUUUAGAGGCAGGGACUCGUUAUGUUGUCCAGGCUGGUCUCGAACUCCUGAGCUCAAGUAAUCCUUCCACCUCAGCCUCCCAAGUAGCUGGGAUUACAGGCACGCGCCACCACGCCCAGCUAAAAGUAUUUUUAAUGCAAAAUAUUCAAUCCUUGCCUCAGAGAUUCUGAUUCAGUUGAUCUCAAGGCCAGGAAUCUUUUUUCACAAGCAACCCAGAGGAUUCUAAAGAUAGUAUAUGAAUCAUAAAGCCCUGACAUCUAGGGAUAUAGUUGGAAUAAUUAUGUUAGAGGAAACCCUCAUCUGGCUUUGGGAAACAUGAUUGAUUUGCACAGCAACCUUUUUAAUACUCUUAACUUUACUUUUUCACAUCUUUGGGGUGAGAUGAUCUCUAAUCUUCAGCCAUUUUUUGGAUGGGGAGCUGUCUUGCCUCAGCCAUUUAGACUUCUUUUUGGUCUAGGAUAAUCACAUAUGCCUGACUACACAUUCCUGUCUGACCUUUUAAUUUACAGUUUUUAAUAAUGUCACUGAAAUGAGACCCAUGUUAUAAGAGUUAAGUCCUUAGUAAAUCUGACCUACUUUGGUAUGAGAGUGUUUAUACAAAUAUGUUUUAGUUAUUUUCUAGUGGACUCUGCUGGCCAGGUGGUGGCAAACCAGGAAGGCGUGUUCCGAAGCAAUUGCAUGGAUUGUCUAGAUAGAACCAAUGUGAUCCAGAGUUUGUUAGCUCGUCGUUCACUUCAGGCCCAACUUCAGAGACUAGGAGUUUUGCAUGUGGGACAAAAGCUUGAAGAACAAGAUGAAUUUGAGAAGAUUUAUAAAAAUGCCUGGGCUGACAACGCAAAUGCUUGUGCCAAGCAAUAUGCGGGAACUGGUGCCUUGAAGACUGACUUUACCAGAACUGGAAAGAGAACUCAUUUGGGACUUAUAAUGGAUGGCUGGAACUCAAUGAUACGAUAUUAUAAGAACAACUUUUCCGAUGGAUUUAGACAAGAUUCCAUAGACUUAUUUCUUGGAAACUAUUCAGUGGAUGAAUUAGAAUCUCAUAGUCCUUUAAGUGUUCCAAGGGAUUGGAAAUUCCUGGCUUUGCCUAUCAUCAUGGUUGUUGCCUUUUCAAUGUGCAUUAUCUGUUUGCUUAUGGCUGGUGACACUUGGACAGAAACACUGGCCUAUGUGCUCUUCUGGGGAGUUGCAAGCAUUGGAACAUUUUUUAUCAUUCUUUACAAUGGCAAAGAUUUUGUUGAUGCUCCCAGACUGGUCCAGAAAGAAAAGAUAGACUGAAUUUGUAUUUGUGGAAAGCGGCUUGGCUUGGAAGAUUCCAUUGUGCAGAACUGGAGUCUUUACUGACCCGCUUUCCACAUCAGCCCAAGGUCUUUUUAAUGCCUUUAUCCAAAAGCACAUCUUGUGCUCCAUGCAGGAUGAUGACAGAAUUGAUCUGAUGUUACUGCCUUGAUGGUCUCUUUACUAUUGGGACAGUUAGAUUUAUAAUUUGAAGCUAUUCUGUAAUUAAAAUAUAACCUGAAUUCAGCUUGCAGAAUGGAAGCUGAAUCUGUUCAUUGUAUUCUAUUGAUUGUCAAUUUAAUUAGCUGUUGCAGAAUAAGUAAUAUAUUUUAAAAACCUAGCUCCUUUCAUUAUUUAAAACAGCAAAAUUAUUUUUGUAGCUCAGUUUCAUUAUUGUCAUUGUAGAAGCGGUCACUAUUAGCAGGCAUACUUUUCCACACAUCUUUGGACUUUUCUUAAAAGUUCAGUAAUAAGCUAACUGUGUUUAUAAAAUGUAAGUCUCUUACAGACAUCAAGUAGUUUGAUGAGACAGUCUGUGACUUCAUGAUAGGAAAGAGGAGGAUGAGGUCUGGGGUUCUUUAAAGUCUCUGGUGGGCUGCCUCAUGACUUUAAUCAGCUUGAACUGCCAGUGCACCAGCAGUUUAGCUGUGAUGAGAGAAUUCAGAUAUACUUUAUCUUUUUAAAAAAGUGUAAAUAAAAUCAAAGAAUGUAAAGUCUAUCUCUUACGCUAGAGGUCCAAAACUGCCUCUGUUUUAAAGAUUAUCCCAAUGUGAAAGAUGCCCAUGACUGGUCAGCUACUUCCUCCUAUACAUUUUGGUUUCUUUGAGGGUCACUCAUUGAGACACGCAGGCCUCUGAGAGGGUCUUGUUCUAGAUUUCAUAUUGCACUUGGAGGGUAACAGCUGCUUUUUCUCGCAUGGUACUCUUGAUGUUUUUCACUCUGUCAAGGAUUUUGUUGACUAUCAAUGAAUGUGUCUAAAACUUAGUGCUUCCAGGUAGUUAUAGUACUCCAAAUCAAGGACCAACUUAAACGUUAAUUUUUGUGCAAAAACAAACCUGAAAAAUAUGCUUCGGAAACUGUGCAUAGUUCUAAUUGUAAGUCAGAUUGUAUAUUCAAAUUGUAAUUAAGAGAUUUAAAUAUUAGAACGGUAUGUAAGGUAGUAUAAUUACCACUAUUUUAAAACAAUUCAGUUAAACACUGCUGCAAUAUUUCAGUGUUGUGCUUGAAAAUAUGUACAGUUUUUUUCCAAUAUUAAUACCUUAUGUUGUCCUUAAAUAUUUCUAAAAGCGCCUUUAUUUCAGCAUUACCUUUUUUUCAUCAUUAUCUUUUAUAAAACAUUAAUAUAAGUCGUUACUUUUAGAAACUCUAAAGGAAAUAAUAGCUGGAAAACCCUCUGUAGUUUAAAAUCAGUCAUUAAACUCACAAUAGGGUAAGUAAAUAUAGCCACCUGUUAACAUGUAAAUAAGCAUAAUUUGUUCCAAAGAUGGAAUAUUGAAACUUAGUUCAUGUCUGCUGUAAAAUAUUAUUUAAAUGCUGCUGGGCAUUUCACUUAAAGAACUUAAUGUCAACAGCUACAACAAAGACCAAAUCUGAACUGCUAAUGUGGCUGCUUUGUGGGGAAUGGACUAAUAUCAGUGUGUUAGAUCUUAAGGUAUCAGUAUUUCAGAAUCCUGCGACGAUUUUAUUUCUAAAUUCAUGUACUGUAUGUCCAUAAGUGAAAAUAAAAUGUCAUAUUCUUUUCU